UAAAUUUGCAACUUCCAUAAUCCUAUACCCUAAAUUAAAAGUUCAUUCUUUCUUCUUCCUUCUUCAAAGCAGCUAUUAUCAUGAGGUUGAUGAUUUUUCCUUCCCCUUCACGAGUUUGAUGCAUAGCACAUUGCAUCAUUAUCUGCAUUUUGCUCUGCCAAGUUUGCAUUCAAUCAAGAUAGGAGGAUUGCCUCCUUCAAUAGUGUGCCAUAUGUGAUCCCAUCAACGCCACAACUUUCCGGCUUCAACAUCUCACAAAAAUAUUCGAAGAACUGAAUUAAUAUCGUAGCAGUAAACACAGGCCUCCAUCACCGCAUUCAUAACAAUUGGGUUCAGCUUGGCAUAUCGUCUCUUGGCAACAUCAAUUUUUGUUGGAGCUAUCUUCCACGAAUGAGUUGAACGAUGCUGGAGGUAAGUCGCUUGAGAUUAGAGUGUCUGUGAGGAGGAAUCUUGAGCAUAUGAUGCCUUAUUGGACCGAAAAAAGAAGAAGAAUAGAAUGAAAUAUUGAGAGAGGGUUAUGGUUUUGAUUUCAGGGGCUAGAGAGCUUAGAUUUGAUACAUCGUUGGUGAUGGAGGAGGAUGAAGAAAGUGCAGGAAGAAAU
RNAcentral lists this unclassified non-coding RNA (601 nucleotides) under Hevea brasiliensis (rubber tree). Lineage: Eukaryota; Viridiplantae; Streptophyta; Magnoliopsida; Malpighiales; Euphorbiaceae. The record is from RNAcentral.